UACGUAGGGUGCGAGCGUUAAUCGGAUUUACUGGGCGUAAAGCGUGCGCAGGCGGCCCGUUAAGACAGGUGUGAAAUCCCUGGGCUCAACCUAGGAAUUGCGCUUGUGACUGGCGGGCUCGAGUACGGUAGAGGGGGGUGGAAUUCCAUGUGUAGCGGUGAAAUGCGUAGAGAUCAGGAGGAACACCGAUGGCGAAGGCAGCCCCCUGGGCCUGUACUGACGCUCAUGCACGAAAGCGUGGGGAGCAAACAGG
RNAcentral lists this ribosomal RNA (253 nucleotides) under uncultured microorganism. RNAcentral's name for it is "partial 16S ribosomal RNA". It matches the Rfam family "Bacterial small subunit ribosomal RNA", at positions 524 to 776 of the family's 1533-position model. The record is from RNAcentral.